This 2226-nucleotide ribosomal RNA is filed under the name Triticum aestivum (bread wheat). RNAcentral's name for it is "partial small subunit ribosomal RNA". Lineage: Eukaryota; Viridiplantae; Streptophyta; Magnoliopsida; Poales; Poaceae. The record is from RNAcentral.
AUGUCCUUCCUCGCGCGGGCGCUCCGCCACUCGAAGCCGUACCUGCCGUCGCGCGGCCCCGCGUCCUGCCGCUGGAUCUCGUCGACGCCCGCCGCGGGCUCGCCCGAGGCCGGCGCGGCCGUGGCGCCCGCCGACCCGGAGCUGCCCCCGCCGCGGGAGCCCGUCGGGGGCGCGCGCGUCGAGCUGCCGCCCAACCCGGAGGACGCGCUCGAGGUGUUCGUCGACGGGCACGCCGUGCGGAUCCCCAAGGGCUUCUCCGUGCUCCAGGCCUGCGAGGUCGCCGGCGUCGACAUCCCGCGCUUCUGCUACCACAGCCGCCUCUCCAUCGCCGGCAACUGCCGCAUGUGCCUCGUCGAGGUCGAGAAGUCGCCCAAGCCCGUCGCCUCCUGCGCCAUGCCCGCCCUCCCAGGGAUGAAGAUUAAGACGAACACACCAAUCGCGAAGAAGGCAAGGGAGGGAGUCAUGGAGUUCUUGUUGAUGAACCAUCCGCUGGAUUGCCCAAUCUGCGAUCAGGGUGGGGAGUGUGACCUGCAGGAUCAGUCCAUGGCCUUUGGGGCUGACCGCGGUCGUUUCACCGAUAUGAAGAGGUCGGUUGUGGAUAAGAAUUUGGGCCCAUUGGUGAAGACGGUGAUGACCCGUUGCAUCCAGUGCACAAGGUGUGUCAGGUUUGCAUCUGAGGUUGCUGGUGUUCAGGACCUGGGUAUGUUAGGCCGUGGCAGUGGUGAAGAAAUCGGAACAUAUGUGGGGAAACUUAUGACAAGUGAACUAUCUGGAAACGUUAUUGAUAUCUGCCCCGUUGGCGCUCUUACAUCCAAGCCAUUUGCGUUUAAAGCUAGAAACUGGGAGAUGAAGGGCACUGAGACUAUUGAUGUUACUGAUGCAGUAGGGUCCAACAUACGCGUUGACAGCAGAGGUCCUGAAGUUAUGCGCAUUGUUCCUCGUCUCAAUGAGGAUAUCAACGAAGAAUGGAUAUCUGACAAAACACGGUUUUGUUAUGAUGGUUUGAAGAGGCAAAGACUGAACGACCCUAUGAUUCGUGGUCCUGAUGGCAGGUUCAAGGCAGUGACAUGGCGUGAUGCUAUUGCGGUUGUUGCUGAGGUUUUGAAUCAAGUCAAGCCAGAAGAAAUUACCGGAGUCGCUGGCAAACUUUCUGAUGCAGAAUCCAUGAUGGCGCUGAAAGAUUUUGUUAAUAAAAUGGGUUCGGAUAAGGUGCUCUGUGAGGGGAAUGGUCCGAAUCCACCAGCAGAUAUUCGAUCAGACUACCUAAUGAAUACUAGCAUUGCUGGUCUUGAGAAAGCUGAUGUCUUCCUUUUGGUUGGCACACAGCCAAGGGUGGAAGCUGCUAUGGUGAACGCAAGGAUUCAGAAGACUGUUAGAGCAACACAAGCAAAGGUGGGCUACAUUGGUCCUCCAGCAGACUUCAACUAUGACACUUGGCAUCUUGGCACAGGGCCAGAUACCCUUGUUGAGAUCGCUGAGGGCCGACAUCCUUUCUGUUCAAUACUGAAGUCUGCAAAGAACCCAGUAAUCAUCGCUGGAGCUGGGUUAUUUGAACGAGAAGACCAAGGUGCUGUGUUCUCAGCAAUUGAAACCGUAGCCAAGAAGUUCAAUGUGACAAGACCGGACUGGAACGGCCUUAAUGUCCUAUUGCUCCAUGCUGCACAGGCCGCAGCUCUUGAUCUGGGCCUCGUUGCUAAUCCCACCGAGAGUGUCAAGUCUGCAAAGUUCCUUUACCUGAUGGGAGCCGACGAUGUAAACCUGGACAACCUUCCAGCGGAUGCAUUUGUGGUUUACCAGGGGCACCAUGGUGACAAGGCCGUGUACAGGGCCAAUGUUAUUCUGCCAUCUUCAGCAUUUAGCGAGAAAGAAGGCACCUAUGAGAACACCGAGGGAUGCACCCAGUGGACCAUCCCAGCUGUGCCUACAGUUGGUGAUGCCAGGGAUGACUGGAAGAUCGUCCGUGCUCUUUCCGAGGUUGCCGGGGCUCCACUGCCUUACGACAGCGUCGCAGCUGUGAGGAGCCGGAUCAGCAUGGUGGCCCCAAAUCUUGUGCGCGUCGACGAGAGGGAGCCAUCGGUGAUCUCUGCCGAGGUGAAGCCUCCAGUAAAGCAGCAAGUGAGCCCGGCGCCAUUCAAAGCUGCCGUGGAGAACUUCUACAUGACCGACGCGAUCACACGGGCUUCCAAGAUCAUGGCUCAGUGCAGCGCAACCUUGUUGAAGAAGUGA